GAGGAAAAGCAGCAGCACCUGGAGAAUCGCACUGUUGUUCGCAGCUGCCCCGGCUCCCGCUGCAUCGCCCUCCUCGGAACCCGCAGGAUUUCCUAUUCCCAAACCUUGGCCCAAUUGAGAAGGAGGAGGCUGCGAGGAGGAGGAAGAUGGCCCGGGAGCCCCAGGCAGCGAGGAGUGGCCAUGGCCAGGAAGCCUGGGAUGGAUGGGAGCAGGAGAGGUUGGACCCUGGUCCAGAUGGACACCAGAGCCAUGGAUCCCACUCUGGAUGGACCCUGGUCCGGAUGGACACCAGAACUAUGGAUGCCACCUGGACUCUGGUCUGGACAGCCCCUGGCCCUGCAGCCCCCGAGACUGGCCAGCCCCCAGCCCAGAGGACCACCAGCUUGGCCCCAUCCCAGCCCACCCCACAGGAUCACCAGCCCAUCCCAGUAGCCCCAACCCCAAAACCUCCGAAAAUAAACCCAAUUCCAGUGGUGGUCCCUGCAGAGUGAGGGAGAAACUGAGGCACGGCUUGGGAGGAUGACUUUGCGGUUACAGGAGGGGACUUUGGGACCCACCAUGGAGACUCCAGAAUGAGCACCCACCCACCGAAUUGUCACCGCAGCACCGUGAGACCCCCAGCUGUCACAUGGGGGGACUCCAGGAGCCACCAUGACCCUGCAGUCCCUUUGAGGGGUGACCCGCAGCGUCCCCCUGCUGUCACCGGCACGUCCUUAGUGGGAGCAGCAGCAUCACCGGGGGGGCAAAGGAGGAGGAGGUGAGGAUGGCGUGAGCCGGGCUCUGCGGGUGCUGAGGCUGCUCUGGGCUCUGCCAGGGCUCUGCUGGGCUCUGCCCUGGGCACAGCUGGGCUGGCUCUGCCCUCACAUUGCUCUGACAGCUUUGCAUCAGACGAGCCCGUUUGAGCACAGUGCCUGAGCUUUCUGCUUUGGCAGGUGAGUGAGACUCCCCUGCAGGCCAGGAGAUUGCAGCUGGGGACACACAUCCAAUUGGCAAGGACCCAAACUCUCCAUAGUCCCAGCUGAACUCCUGAAUCUCCACAGGAACGCCUGGAUCUCCACUAUUCAUUCUUCAUUUCUUUUUGGCUGGAAUUGUGCAGUUGCACUUUCUUCCUCCUCUAGAAGUGCCAUGAGUGGGCCAAACCUGGCAAGUGAGCCGUGUUCCUGAGGCAGUGCAGUCUGGAGCUGAUGGAUGGAGAAUUGCCCUUCCCACUUCCAAACCAGAGCAAAAAGCCGUAAGUGGGAUUUUUCAUCCGUAAGAAACCCCUGAGAAUUUCAGAGGGAAUGUGCAGCUCAUUCCCAGAGUGAGAAGGAAGGUCAUCUUCUAAAGGAUUUGGGGUUUGACAGAGUUGAGAUUCCCAGUCCUGCCUGGAGCUGGAAGGGCCCCAAUCAAUUUCCUAUUGCUUUGAUGACAAUUUAAAAUAACAAUGUUGGAAGCAAACCCCAAAACCUUUAAAAAAGGCUGCUGAGGUCCGUAAGAUGGAUCCAUGCCAUCAGCACAUUUACAAUGUAAAUAACUGAGUUCUCUUUUUAAAGAGAUAAUUUACCUCUUAAUGCAAAGUUACAAAAGUUGUUUCACUAAAACUUGGAUUUUAUUUGUAUCUUUUACAAUUCAGCUAAUUGGAUUUUUUUCUUUUUCCUUUUUUUUUCUUUAAAUAAAGGUCCUGGCCCUCUUCCAGCCGAAGGGGAAAGGGCCCCACCAAGACUUGUUACCCACAGACAACAUGGUAAAGCUGAACACUAAAGGACCUUGGGGGCAUUAAUCUGGAAUUAAAAUGGUGCCAGGUCCAUGGACAACUGAAUUAUUGUUCCUAACCUGAAUGAGAUUGAGCAAAAAGAAUGAAGAACGGUGUCACUAAAGUACUACUGACGUUUGCCAAAACACCUCCAGAGUUUCACCAAGAGAUCAGUCAUCAAAAAUGUUUUGGAAAUUUAAAGACCAAGGUAGCCAAAGCACACAGUGUCACUAAUUGCUGGGUAUGUUCUCAGCUGAAGUUGGGAGGAAUGGGGUUCCCUUGGAGGGCCCACCCUGUGGGGUGGCCAGAACUCUGUCAAUGGGCUCUGCCUCGUAACGGAGUCAAUGAAGGGACAGUUAGAGAAACCUGUGCUGUGGGACACGGGAAUACAACGAUCAGUGUGACAGGAUUCACUCAGAUUUCCCAUCAGGAGAAACCAAACCCUGUUACAGUUAUAGAGGCUACAGUGUCAGAAGAUUUCUGUGCUUUACCAUCACUCCCAAUGUCAGAAGAACUUGGGGUGCUGCAGCUGGUCAGUGUCAGUGUCACACCGCUCCCAGCUGCAGGGCCCCCAUUUAGGGUCCUUCAGCAACGACCACACAGAAGACUUAGGGCCCAGAGAACAUUUUCCACCCAAAGAGUGCCUUAGGUUUCCGAAAGCAAAGGAUUCUGGUUCACCCUGUGCCCCAUGUGCGCUGCCCCGCCCCGUGGAGUUGACAUGAAUGAGCUGAAUGGAUUACUAGAAGAGGUAGCAAAUGAUACUGUUGAAAUGUCCAUUAGCACAUCCUAUGAGCUCCAACAAACACAAAUGGGGACUCCAGAGAACCGCAUGGCCUUGGAUUAUCUGCUUGCUGGCCAAGGAGGAACCUGGGCUAUCAGGGGACGGGGAUGUUGCACUGCUAGCAGUGAUGGGUUUGAAGGCCAACAGUCAGGAAUCACCUUGACAGAAAGAGCAGUAGAAGAGUGGCAGAAGAAAAUUCUUCUUGGUGGGAUUGGCUUCAUGGCUGCCAAAUUAGAGGCUGCUGUGAAAUGCAUUCAUGUCAGGGCCUGUCAUCAUUGCAGUGUGUGCACUUGGUGAGUUGCUGUGACACUUUGUGCUGGGAAGUGGAGUACUGGGACCUUUCUUAAAAGAGACAGUCUCAAGAAAAGAGAGGCAUUUGAUAAAUAACAGAGAAUAGCAACUAUUUAGGCAUGUUUUAAAAGGAACGUGAAUAGCUCUGAGUAAUGAACUUUACCUGCACUUAAUUGUAGAACAAGAGGAGAUGCCUUUAUGCCUAAUACCUCAAUCUAAGCUGUGUUACUGAAAGAAUUAUUACAAAGGUUGUAGUUGAUUGUAGGUCUCAGGACCAACCAAAGUACCAAGGCCUGAACAGGUUGUGAUCAAGGCCUGAACAGGUUGUGAUCAAGGCCUGAACAGGCCCUGAGGCAAAGCUCACCUCUAGAUGAACCUUCCAAGCAAAUGUUGUAUUUGUAUCCACUCAUUAAGGAAGGAUGAUUAACAACAUGAUCAAUGUAUGUGUUCCUUGAUAAAACAUGGAUUUGUCUUUCUGUAUUUAGAAACAGACAAGGCCCCAUCUGGCCUUGUUUGGGGGUGAAGGAUCAAAGUCAACUCCCUUGGUUCCUCCUUCAGUCCUGGCCAGGCUUUGGGAGAAAGCAGUCAGGAGAAUGAAAGCAGAUGUUCUCGAAGUGGCAGUGAUGCCAGCUUGUUUGUUUAACAGUGUAAAAGCUGGGUCCUCUCACAGCUUUGGGGUUGGAGCCUCAUUGCCUGCAGAGGUGGAGGCACCUGCAGGAAUUCCCAGUGACUCUCCAGUCCUUGGCUUCCCCCAGCUGAUGUGUGGCUGUGGAUGAUGGUAAAGCCUGAGGCUAACUGGUGAUGGAUCUUUCCUUAAUCACUCCAGGCAAUCUCUGGUAGCAAUGACUGGAUACAUUGCUGAGCUUCUUUUGUAAUGCUUUGCUAAUGAUGAUGUGCUUUGCUGAGCUUAUCCUUUUGUAAUUCUUUGCAGCUGUGCAUGAUAUAAAUGACACAAUUCCUUCA
Long non-coding RNA from Taeniopygia guttata (zebra finch), 3767 nucleotides. The record is from Ensembl. NCBI's taxonomy places the organism in Eukaryota, Metazoa, Chordata, Aves, Passeriformes, Estrildidae.